This 432-nucleotide ribosomal RNA is filed under the name uncultured bacterium. RNAcentral describes it as "partial 16S ribosomal RNA". It matches the Rfam family "Bacterial small subunit ribosomal RNA", at positions 29 to 507 of the family's 1533-position model. The record is from RNAcentral.
ACGAACGCUGGCGGCCUGCCUAACACCUGCCAGUCGAACGAGACCUUCGGGUCUAGUGGCGCACGGGUGCGUAACGCGUGGGAACCUGCCCUUAGGUUCGGAAUAACUCCCCGAAAGGGGUGCUAAUACCGGAUAAUGUCUUCGGACCAAAGAUUUAUCGCCUUUGGAUGGGCCCGCGUUGGAUUAGCUAGUUGGUAGGGUAAAAGCCUACCAAGGCGACGAUCCAUAGCUGGUCUGAGAGGAUGAUCAGCCACACUGGGACUGAGACACGGCCCAGACUCCUACGGGAGGCAGCAGUGGGGAAUAUUGGACAAUGGGCGAAAGCCUGAUCCAGCAAUGCCGCGUGAGUGAUGAAGGCCUUAGGGUUGUAAAGCCCUUUUACCCGGGAUGAUAAUGACAGUACCGGGAGAAUAAGCUCCGGCUAACUCCGUG